GGGCAGUUAGCUCAGCGGUAGAGCGCCGUCCUCACACGACGGAUGUCAUAGGUUCAAAUCCUAUACUGCCCA
RNAcentral lists this transfer RNA (72 nucleotides) under Elusimicrobiota bacterium. Its description in RNAcentral is "Elusimicrobia bacterium (groundwater metagenome) tRNA-Val". It matches the Rfam family "tRNA". From Rfam's summary of the family: Transfer RNA (tRNA) molecules are approximately 80 nucleotides in length. Their secondary structure includes four short double-helical elements and three loops (D, anti-codon, and T loops). Further hydrogen bonds mediate the characteristic L-shaped molecular structure. tRNAs have two regions of fundamental functional importance: the anti-codon, which is responsible for specific mRNA codon recognition, and the 3' end, to which the tRNAs corresponding amino acid is attached (by aminoacyl-tRNA synthetases). tRNAs cope with the degeneracy of the genetic code in two manners: having more than one tRNA (with a specific anti-codon) for a particular amino acid; and 'wobble' base-pairing, i.e. permitting non-standard base-pairing at the 3rd anti-codon position. The record is from RNAcentral. Lineage: Bacteria; Pseudomonadati; Elusimicrobiota.